UAAGACAGAGGGUGCGAACGUUGUUCGGUGUCACUGGGCUUAGAGGGUGCGUAGGCGGCCAGGUUAGUGGGAGGUGAAAGCUCCGGGCUCAACCCGGAAAUUGCCUUCCAAACGGCUUGGCUUGAGGGCCGGAGGGGUGAGCGGAACGUCACGUGUAGCGGUGAAAUGCGUUGAUAUGUGACGGAACGCCGGCGGCGAAGGCGGCUCACUGGUCGGCAUCUGACGCUGAGGCACGAAAGCGUGGGGAGCAAACGGGAUUAGAUACCCCGGUAGUCCACGCCGUAAACGAUGGGCACUAGGUAGUCGGAGUUUGAUGCUCUGGCUGCCGUAGCGUAAGCGUUAAGUGCCCCGCCUGGGGAGUACGGUCGCAAGGCUG
Molecule: ribosomal RNA, 376 nt
Filed under: uncultured Chloroflexota bacterium
Lineage: Bacteria; Bacillati; Chloroflexota
Description: bacterial SSU rRNA
Rfam family: Bacterial small subunit ribosomal RNA
Source: RNAcentral